Molecule: transfer RNA, 73 nt
Filed under: Ovis aries (sheep)
Lineage: Eukaryota; Metazoa; Chordata; Mammalia; Artiodactyla; Bovidae
Rfam family: tRNA
About the family: Transfer RNA (tRNA) molecules are approximately 80 nucleotides in length. Their secondary structure includes four short double-helical elements and three loops (D, anti-codon, and T loops).
Source: Rfam by way of RNAcentral
UCCCUGGUGGUCCAGUAGCUAAUACUCCACACUCCCAAUGCAGGGAGUCUGGGUUCAACUCCUGGCCAGGGAA